Molecule: small nucleolar RNA, 135 nt
Organism: Physeter macrocephalus (sperm whale)
Lineage: Eukaryota; Metazoa; Chordata; Mammalia; Artiodactyla; Physeteridae
Gene: SNORA70
Rfam family: Small nucleolar RNA SNORA70
About the family: snoRNA U70 seems to be exclusive to mammals and is a member of the H/ACA class of snoRNA which contain H (ANANNA) and ACA box motifs.
Source: Ensembl
UUGCAGCCAGUUAAGCCGACUGUGCUCUUUCCCCCAUGGGGGCCCGCUGCAAAAUGGCUGCAAACAGCAGCCUCCUCGGUAGUGUAUGCAGCCUGUUGCCUGUAUGGGUUGCCCUAAGGGACCUUGGAGACAGCC